GUCUUGAAACUUAAAGAAUUUGGCGGUGUUUUAGUCUUUUCAGAGGAAUCUGUUCCAUGAUCGAUAAUACACGAGAUAUGAAACUUAAUUUUGUUUUCAGUUUAUAUACCGCCGUCAUCAGAUUAUCUUUUGAAAGUGAAAUAAUCAUAAUACUAAAUAGGUAAUAUGUCAGGUCAAGGUGUAGCUAAUAGUUAAGAGGAGAUGGAUUACAAUAAAAUAAUUUAAACGGAGAUUAAUAUGAAAAUUUAAUGGAAGGUGGAUUUGAAGGUAAUGUUAUUGAAUUAAUAAUUUGAUUAUAGCUCUAGAACAUGCACACAUCGCCCGUCGCUCUCAUUAUAAGGUGAGAUAAGUCGUAACAAAGUAGACGUACUGGAAAGUGUGUCUAGAAAGUG
RNAcentral lists this ribosomal RNA (392 nucleotides) under Spizaphilus sp. RCP-2009. Its description in RNAcentral is "partial 12S ribosomal RNA". It matches the Rfam family "Microsporidia small subunit ribosomal RNA", at positions 768 to 1311 of the family's 1311-position model. Lineage: Eukaryota; Metazoa; Arthropoda; Insecta; Orthoptera; Anostostomatidae. The record is from RNAcentral.